GCAACAGAAGCAAUCGUUGUACAGCGUUGGUCACAAGCAAUCAAAUAAAGGUAGAAUAAGGAUUACAAACCCUAACACAUUCAUGAGCCUACCUACCCAUGGGUGUUUCUAUUUGGUAUUUAUAUUUGGUGCACAUUAUAACAAGAGACUUGAGUCCAAUAUAUAACAUUGAUAUUCUACUCUAUUCUAAUUCUAGGCAAUGUGAGACUUCAUAUAAUAACAUAUUUCAAACAUCUCAACAAUCUUCACCUUAAUUGAAAUAUAUGAAUAUUCCGCUCCUUAGGAAAUCUACACAAGAAUCUCCACAUUAGCGAACAUAUGAGUCCAUCUUGUUUAAUGUAUAAUUCUCUUUAACUGCUCCCCUACAACAUAAACCUUCUGAGUAUCCUUGACAAUGUUACCAAUAGUAAAGCUCUCCAAACUUGUAGUACAACUUCUCGUACUGCCAUCAAAUGGAACAUGUUGCCUAACCACCUAUUGCUAGGAAGUCUUUCGAUAUAUUGGAAUCUCUACACAAAAGUUCACCAAGAAUCGUCCUCUUCAAUACUCAGUCAAACUGAACCUUAAAGCUUCCUUGGAAAGCCUCAACCGCUACCAUCUUUGUCUAUUCCAACAAUCUUAGUUCAAAAGAACUAUCAUACUCCACCAUAAGGAGUAUACCCACAACACACUUUGCGUCAAUGCUAACUAAUGUUUGCGUCACAUCCUUGCAUCCAAGUCAAUGUCCAUGUUACACCUUUGCAUCUCUACCAAUGCUCGUGUUACAACUUGCAUCAUAGUCAAUGCCCAUGUCACACCCUACAUCAAAGUCAGCUAUCGCCCUUGUGCAUUUUUGAAUCUCCUAACAAUUAACAUCUUUCACUUUGACGUCUCAGACAUGCCAUUAGGAUAUUCCACUUCUCAUCUCAAAUGAGAACUUUCUCUCAACAUCUAGAGAUAUAUUGUGAGCAUCUGUCUCUGGGUCAAACUCAACACAUGAGUGUCUGGGUUAAGAGCCAUCUGCCAAUUGGCUCUGAUACCAAUUGUUGGAGCAGCGGAAUAGAUCGUUGCACAGCGUUAGCUACAAGCAAUCAAAUAAAGACAUAGAAUAAAUAUAAGAGAAGAAACAAGAGAAUUUGUUAACAGGGUUCGACCAAUUGUACCUACAUCCCAAGGAACACUGAGCGGCUACCAAGAUAUUAUUAGAGAAUAAAGAUUACAAACCCUAGCACGUCCAUGAGCCUACCUGCCCAUGAGGUGUUUCUACUUGGUACUUAUAUCUGGUGCACAUUAUAAUAAGGGACUUGAGUCCAAUAUAUAACAUUG
RNAcentral lists this long non-coding RNA (1305 nucleotides) under Lupinus angustifolius (narrow-leaved blue lupine). Its description in RNAcentral is "long non-coding RNA (LANG_LNC002473)". The record is from RNAcentral. Lineage: Eukaryota; Viridiplantae; Streptophyta; Magnoliopsida; Fabales; Fabaceae.